Molecule: ribosomal RNA, 201 nt
Filed under: uncultured bacterium
Lineage: Bacteria
Description: partial 16S ribosomal RNA
Rfam family: Bacterial small subunit ribosomal RNA
Source: RNAcentral
ACGCUCGACACCUACGGGAGGCAGCAGUUGGGAAUAUUGGACAAUGGAGGAAACUCUGAUCCAGUGACGCCGCGUGAAGGAAGAAGGUCUUCGGAUUGUAAACUUAUUUUGUCAGGGAAGAAAAAAUGACUGUACCUGAAGAAAAAGCACCGGCUAACUACGUGCUAGCAGCCGGCGGUAAUCUGAGCGGGCUGGCAAGGC